RNAcentral lists this long non-coding RNA (224 nucleotides) under Brachypodium distachyon (stiff brome). RNAcentral's name for it is "long non-coding RNA (BDIS_LNC001646)". Lineage: Eukaryota; Viridiplantae; Streptophyta; Magnoliopsida; Poales; Poaceae. The record is from RNAcentral.
UUUAGUAGAGGGAGUAAGUCUAUAGUGAGCACGUAGUAGAUGAAAUCUAGAGAGAGAACAAAUCUACACAAAUUAUUUAGUGGGAUGGGGGUAAUAAGCGUCGUUCCAGACAAUGUAUAGCCGUGUAUAUUGCACGCACUACGGACUCCAGUAGUUCGUGUUUUCUUUAAUAAAUGAAGGUGUGAUACAGUACUUCUAGUAUUCCCAGGAAAUCAAAUACCCGA